AUGUACCUACGGGGCGCAGCAGUAGGGAAUCUUCCACAAUGGACGAAAGUCUGAUGGAGCAACGCCGCGUGAGUGAAGAAGGGUUUCGGCUCGUAAAGCUCUGUUGGUAGUGAAGAAAGAUAGAGGUAGUAACUGGCCUUUAUUUGACGGUAAUUACUUAGAAAGUCACGGCUAACUACGUGCCAGCAGCCGCGGUAAUACGUAGGUGGCAAGCGUUGUCCGGGUUUAUUGGGCGUAAAGCGAGUGCAGGCGGGUCAA
This 258-nucleotide ribosomal RNA is filed under the name uncultured bacterium. Its description in RNAcentral is "partial 16S ribosomal RNA". It matches the Rfam family "Bacterial small subunit ribosomal RNA", at positions 333 to 583 of the family's 1533-position model. The record is from RNAcentral.